RNAcentral lists this long non-coding RNA (270 nucleotides) under Brassica rapa (field mustard). RNAcentral describes it as "long non-coding RNA (BRAP_LNC005073)". The record is from RNAcentral. Lineage: Eukaryota; Viridiplantae; Streptophyta; Magnoliopsida; Brassicales; Brassicaceae.
AAACAUGUAAUUUCCUCCUUAAAUAUAACAAAAAUGACUUUUCAAAAUAAGGUAAUAAAAUUCUGUUUACUUAUCCUAAGAGCUAACAUAAAAUUUAAUAUAAUUUGAAUAUUUUUUUUCAAGAUCUUGACCCUCCUUAUAAUUAACAAAAAAAAAUGAUUGUUGAUGUAUAAUAAACGAUUUAGAGACAGUCCAAUUUAGGGGAAAAUAAUAUAUUACUGCCAAUAGUUUCUUUGAAGGUCCAUGUAUACAGUACGAGAAACAUUCAAA